Molecule: long non-coding RNA, 1923 nt
Organism: Mauremys reevesii (Reeves's turtle)
Lineage: Eukaryota; Metazoa; Chordata; Testudines; Geoemydidae
Exons: 3
Source: RefSeq, a predicted model, not a curated record
ACAGGCCCAACCAUCCCUCAGCUCCUUUGCCAAAACCGAAUCCAUAUGGUACAGGAUGCCACAGCAGUGGAGGAGGAGGGUGGGUCAUGGAAUCCCCAUGGACAACACACCUUGAAGAACCACAGUUGCUGCAGGGUAAGUAAUUGUUCUUUCCUCUUGGUGUGCCACACUGUUUUUACUGCUGGUGAUGAGCUAAUGGUGACCUCACAGUCAGGAGGUGGGUGCUAGGAGUCUUAUUUAAAUAGUGACUGCAGCACAGCUCUACUAAAGUGGGUGUCAGAUCUUGAGGCCACAACUAUGGAAGAGUGCUGGGUGAAAAUGGGGACUGAUCCCAUGUAGCUGCCCUGUAAAUUUCUGAAAUUUGUACGCUUCUCAAAAAACCCAGCAGAAGCUGCCUGUGACCUGGUGAAAUGGGAUCUAACCUGCAUGAGCGGAUCUAAUCUAGCUAAUUUAUGGCAUGUUUUGAUACAAUUAAAUACCCAGCUUUGGGUAGAUAUUGCCUGAUUCUUGCAUUCUAGCUACAAAUGCUACAAGCAGACUGGGGGAGUUCCUGAAUCGUCUUGUUCUGCCAAGAUAAUAUGAGAGAGCCCUAAGUAUGCCAACAGUGUGCAGUCUGGCUUGCCUUUAGUUAGAGAGGGGCUUGGGAAAGAAAUCUGGCAGAUGAACUAUCUAAUUUAAAUGAACAUUUGAGACUUUUUUUUGUGUGAAAACAGAGUGGGGCCUAGAGGGUCACUGUCUUUAUGGAUUACUGGUGAGGUGGACCAGCCAUGAAGGCCUGAAUUUCCCCCACGCUUCGAGCUGCUGUUAUAGCUACUAAAAACAGCUGUUUUCAUAGACAGUAUAUGGAGCAAGUUGCUACGGGCGCAAAAUGAGGUCCCAUUAACCAGGCUAAAACUAUACUGAGGUCCCAGAAAGAAGGGCCCCAGACUGAGAAACACAUGAAUGAGGCCCUUGAGGAAUCUAGCAAUUUGUAGGAUUAGAAAAUAUGCUAUGACCUUGGACAGGAGGAUGAUGUGCUGAUACUUCUGCUAACUGUACUCUUAAAGAGCUUAAGGAACAGCCCUGAAUGCUUAUUGAUAGCAGAUAGCUCAGAAUAGUACAAAUCGGGGAUUCUAUGGGAGACAAGUGACACUAUGCUGUUCAAAUUGGGACCUGCUUCCAUCUGACUGCAUAGUCAUUUUAGGAGGUGAUCCUGGAAUUUUGGACCUUUCAUGCACUCAGGACACUCAGGAAUUUGACUUAGAAAUAUGGUCAGCCUCAGGAGCACUUGAAACAAGCCUCUGCAUGGUGUACCAAGGUGAAAUGAUCAUGUAUGCUGUGGUUAGAUGCAUCUUCCACAAGAAAGCCAGUAUUCACUUCUAUCUACUGAUAAUGCACUGGUCAUAAUGACACAGAAACUGAAUUUUGAUUUGGCAUGUCAAUGCUGAUAAAAACAACUUUGCACACCCUUAUGACCAGGAGACAAUGUGCUUUGCUUGGAAUAUCUUUCGAGUUGGAUUGCAAUGGGUUGGUGGUCACUUGCUUGGGCUUCCGAGAUAGGCAUCUAUUGCUGCUCAUACAGUAGUGACAGCAAAUAUAAGAUUACCCCAGCUGAGUGAGGGCAAUAUCACAGAGCAAUGCUCAUAAGGUUGAAUUAAUCCCCGGUGUAACUCCAUUAAUUUAAAUGAAGUUACAUCAGGGAUGAGUUUGGUCCAUUUCUGCAUUCUGAGUUCCUGGGUUGACCCCUACACCCUCAGCCUCUACCCUCCCAUUAGGAGGGAGGUGACCACAAGACCAUUGCAUCAGACCCACCACUCUCUUCCAGUACCUCCAGGGAUGAAAACGGAAGAUCUUCAGCUUCCCUUCUUUUGAUCUAUAGCAGGGGUGGCCAAACUGUGGCUCGCAAGCCACAUGUGAGCCACACUUUAAUGGUAAAAGAGCGCA